Molecule: ribosomal RNA, 528 nt
Filed under: Triticum aestivum (bread wheat)
Lineage: Eukaryota; Viridiplantae; Streptophyta; Magnoliopsida; Poales; Poaceae
Description: partial small subunit ribosomal RNA
Source: RNAcentral
AUGGCGGCUUGCGGGGCAAAGGAAGGAUUGGAAGACAAUCAAUCUGGAGGGUGUGUGGGACUUUAUGCAGAGGGGCGUCCACAUGCUCAUCAACAUUCUCGAUGGCCAGAGCCCGAGCACAACUUCGAGUACUACAUGAUGCAUCUGAAGAUUCUGAACAUGCUUUUCAUUUGUGCUAUACGGCUAUCCAUCAGUACACAUCUUAGUAAUGUUAAUUUGGUUGUUCUUGAGACUUUUGCAGAUAGUAUGUAUUUCAAAGACGUGUGCUUGCAUGGGUUUGAUACUUCCCUUUAUACCCGAUUGCAUAGGAAAACAAGAUCAGAGCAUAAUUCUACUUGGCAUUGGUGGCUGGGGUCAACAGGUUCAGUGAUUGUUCUUAUACUUUUGCUUCAGAAGGAAAUCGUGGAUCAUGAUCUUGCGGAGCAGAUGGAGGAGCCCAUGGCCCAGCAGCUGGAAGCGGACAUCAAUGCUCUGGUUUAUAACAAGCAGCAACUGGCCCUGCGAGCAAAAGCCACUAUCCAUCAAUGA